UUUUGCAGAUGAGUCUGGAAGUGUUAGUUGCAAAGAUAUGCAUUUACUUCUCUGGCUACAAAAAAGAAUAGAAAUGCACAAAGCAGAGCAGUGUGAAGAAGAAGAGGCGAUGACCCCUAGACCGACCAAAGCCCGUGCUCCACUGCCCAGUGCCUAUGUCCCACCACUGUCGCUGCCACCCUGCCCGAGAGAAAGGCUGAAGGGGAUGCUAAAGGAGAUAAAACCAAGGUUAAGUAGGAACUGCAGAGAAGAUCCACAAGGUUGUCUGCUAAACCUGCUCCUCCAAAGCCACAGCCGAAGCCCAGAAAGGCCUCUGCAAAGAAGAGAGAGAAGGUACCUACAGAGAAGAAGGGAAAAGCUGAUGCUGGCAAGGAGGGGAAUAACCCUGCAGAAAAUGGAGAUGCCAAAACAGACUAGGCACAGAAAGCUAAAGGUGCUGGAGAUGCCAAGUGAAGUGUGUGCAUUUUUGAUAACUGUGUACUUCUGGUGA
This 490-nucleotide long non-coding RNA is filed under the name Homo sapiens (human). Its description in RNAcentral is "non-protein coding lnc-BLOC1S6-3:2". The record is from RNAcentral. Lineage: Eukaryota; Metazoa; Chordata; Mammalia; Primates; Hominidae.